AUUGAACGCUGGCGGCAUGCUUUACACAUGCAAAUCGAACGGCAGCGCGGGCUUCGGCCUGGCGGCGAGUGGCGAACGGGUGAGUAAUGCAUCGGAACGUGCCCAGUAGUGGGGGAUAGCCCGGCGAAAGCCGGAUUAAUACCGCAUACGACCUGAGGGUGAAAGCGGGGGACCGAAAGGCCUCGCGCUAUUGGAGCGGCCGAUGUCGGAUUAGCUAGUUGGUGGGGUAAAGGCUUACCAAGGCGACGAUCCGUAGCUGGUCUGAGAGGACGACCAGCCACACUGGGACUGAGACACGGCCCAGACUCCUACGGGAGGCAGCAGUGGGGAAUUUUGGACAAUGGGGGCAACCCUGAUCCAGCCAUGCCGCGUGCGGGAAGAAGGCCUUCGGGUUGUAAACCGCUUUUGUUCGGGAAGAAAUCCUCUGGGCUAAUACCCCGGGGGGAUGACGGUACCGGAAGAAUAAGCACCGGCUAACUACGUG
Molecule: ribosomal RNA, 484 nt
Filed under: uncultured bacterium
Lineage: Bacteria
Description: partial 16S ribosomal RNA
Rfam family: Bacterial small subunit ribosomal RNA
Source: RNAcentral